UNGCCUGUGUGUAAACAGAUGGCCUGUCU
Molecule: non-coding RNA, 29 nt
Filed under: Mus musculus (house mouse)
Lineage: Eukaryota; Metazoa; Chordata; Mammalia; Rodentia; Muridae
Source: RNAcentral